Molecule: long non-coding RNA, 483 nt
Filed under: Erythranthe guttata (spotted monkey flower)
Lineage: Eukaryota; Viridiplantae; Streptophyta; Magnoliopsida; Lamiales; Phrymaceae
Description: long non-coding RNA (EGUT_LNC000235)
Source: RNAcentral
UCGUUUUAAUUAUGUCAAUACAAUGCAGUUAUUUACUUGUAGUUGUGGACUUCUCCUUUUAAUUAACAGAGUUAUGUGGAUGGGGAUGGGAAACAAGAUGAAAUUGUUGAUCAGGGUUGAGGAGAACGUGAUGGAGAGGAAGAUAGAUACUAAGGCCAUGGCUUGUCGAUAUUGAAGGCAGAUCGAUAGAGAAGAGUGGUGUUAGGAAUGUGACCUGAAAAUUGAGGGCACAAGAGAUGGCAGUGAUUCAGAAAAGAGAGGAGGAAUACAAACGAGUUUAGAGCUAAGAAGAGAUUGUGUUUUCUAUAAAUAAGAUAUUUAUGUUUUGUAAUUCAUAACAGAUUCUUAGCACUAGAUACUACUAGCCAAAUGAUGCUCUGAAAGAUUGGAAACGAUAUGAUUUUGUUUUAAUAUAUUUAUGCUUUGUGAUUUUGUUUUAAUAUAUUUAUGCUUUGUGAUUUUUUGUUGAUUGUUUAUCAAAAA